RNAcentral lists this ribosomal RNA (1053 nucleotides) under Alternaria alternata. RNAcentral describes it as "SSU rRNA". It matches the Rfam family "Eukaryotic small subunit ribosomal RNA", at positions 66 to 1130 of the family's 1831-position model. Lineage: Eukaryota; Fungi; Ascomycota; Dothideomycetes; Pleosporales; Pleosporaceae. The record is from RNAcentral.
UAAGCAAUUAUACCGUGAAACUGCGAAUGGCUCAUUAAAUCAGUUAUCGUUUAUUUGAUAAUACCUUACUACUUGGAUAACCGUGGUAAUUCUAGAGCUAAUACAUGCUGAAAAUCCCGACUUCGGAAGGGAUGUGUUUAUUAGAUAAAAAACCAAUGCCCUUCGGGGCUUUUUGGUGAUUCAUGAUAACUUUACGGAUCGCAUAGCCUUGCGCUGGCGACGGUUCAUUCAAAUUUCUGCCCUAUCAACUUUCGAUGGUAAGGUAUUGGCUUACCAUGGUUUCAACGGGUAACGGGGAAUUAGGGUUCGAUUCCGGAGAGGGAGCCUGAGAAACGGCUACCACAUCCAAGGAAGGCAGCAGGCGCGCAAAUUACCCAAUCCCGACACGGGGAGGUAGUGACAAUAAAUACUGAUACAGGGCUCUUUUGGGUCUUGUAAUUGGAAUGAGUACAAUUUAAACCUCUUAACGAGGAACAAUUGGAGGGCAAGUCUGGUGCCAGCAGCCGCGGUAAUUCCAGCUCCAAUAGCGUAUAUUAAAGUUGUUGCAGUUAAAAAGCUCGUAGUUGAAACUUGGGCCUGGCUGGCGGGUCCGCCUCACCGCGUGCACUCGUCCGGCCGGGCCUUCCUUCUGAAGAACCUCAUGCCCUUCACUGGGCGUGCUGGGGAAUCAGGACUUUUACUUUGAAAAAAUUAGAGUGUUCAAAGCAGGCCUUUGCUCGAAUACGUUAGCAUGGAAUAAUAAAAUAGGGCGUGCGUUUCUAUUUUGUUGGUUUCUAGAGACGCCGCAAUGAUUAACAGGAACAGUCGGGGGCAUCAGUAUUCAGUUGUCAGAGGUGAAAUUCUUGGAUUUACUGAAGACUAACUACUGCGAAAGCAUUUGCCAAGGAUGUUUUCAUUAAUCAGUGAACGAAAGUUAGGGGAUCGAAGACGAUCAGAUACCGUCGUAGUCUUAACCGUAAACUAUGCCGACUAGGGAUCGGGCGAUGUUCUUUUUCUGACUCGCUCGGCACCUUACGAGAAAUCAAAGUUUUUGGGUUCUGGGGGGAUAUGGUC